Molecule: ribosomal RNA, 558 nt
Filed under: Triticum aestivum (bread wheat)
Lineage: Eukaryota; Viridiplantae; Streptophyta; Magnoliopsida; Poales; Poaceae
Description: partial small subunit ribosomal RNA
Source: RNAcentral
AUGCUGACCCCAGACCGUGAAGACAAAAUCUCUUGGCGUUGGACCCCAAAUGGCACCUACUCCUCUGCCUCAGCUUACAUGGCCCAGUUCUGUAGAUCCUUCCCCAGGUUCACGCCGUCCAAGAUUUGCGAGGCCCAUGCAGAACCAAAAUGCAAACUCUUCUCCUGGCUGGUUCUCCAUGGGAAAAUCCUCACGGCGGACAUGCUUGCUAUUCGCGGCUGGCCACAUGACCCUAUCUGUCCUCUCUGUCUGCGAGCACCAGAAACUGCAAAUCACUUGUGCAAGGACUGUCCGUUCGCGGUUGCGGUUUGGUCACAUGUACAACGAUGGACUGGGGAGGUGCCAGCGGCCCCGAUGGCAACGCCGGCUGCCGUGGGCAUCUCUGACUGGUGGGACUCGCUCAUCGCCCCGCUCUCCAAGGAGGAUAGUCGAUGCCGUAGUGGUCGCCUCCUAUACACCAUCUGGAAUAUCUGGAAGGAGCGUAACCGCCGCAUCUUCAACGGGACCCGCCUAACUCAUGUGGAAGUGGCUGCCCUCGCGUUCGACAACAUAAAAUAG